Molecule: ribosomal RNA, 483 nt
Filed under: uncultured bacterium
Lineage: Bacteria
Description: bacterial SSU rRNA
Rfam family: Bacterial small subunit ribosomal RNA
Source: RNAcentral
AUUGAACGCUGGCGGCAGGCCUAACACAUGCAAGUCGAGCGGAAACGAUCCUAGCUUGCUAGGAGGCGUCGAGCGGCGGACGGGUGAGUAACGCGUGAGGAUCUGCCCGUUUGUGGGGGAUAACUCGGGGAAACUCGAGCUAAUACCGCAUAAUCCCUACGGGGGAAAGCAGGGGACCUUCGGGCCUUGUGCAGAUGGAUGAGCUCGCGUCGGAUUAGCUUGUUGGUGAGGUAAAAGCUCACCAAGGCGACGAUCCGUAGCUGGUCUGAGAGGAUGAUCAGCCACACCGGGACUGAGACACGGCCCGGACUCCUACGGGAGGCAGCAGUGGGGAAUCUUGGACAAUGGGGGCAACCCUGAUCCAGCCAUGCCGCGUGUGUGAAGAAGGCCUUCGGGUUGUAAAGCACUUUCAGUAGGGAGGAAGGCUUACCGCUAAUAAUGGUGAGUACUUGACGUUACCUACAGAAGAAGCACCGCUAAUUU